RNAcentral lists this ribosomal RNA (465 nucleotides) under Vreelandella stevensii. RNAcentral describes it as "partial 16S ribosomal RNA". It matches the Rfam family "Bacterial small subunit ribosomal RNA", at positions 338 to 795 of the family's 1533-position model. Lineage: Bacteria; Pseudomonadati; Pseudomonadota; Gammaproteobacteria; Oceanospirillales; Halomonadaceae. The record is from RNAcentral.
CCUACGGGAGGCAGCAGUGGGGAAUAUUGGACAAUGGGGGGAACCCUGAUCCAGCCAUGCCGCGUGUGUGAAGAAGGCCCUCGGGUUGUAAAGCACUUUCAGUGAGGAAGAACGCCUGGUGGUUAAUACCCAUCAGGAAAGACAUCACUCACAGAAGAAGCACCGGCUAACUCCGUGCCAGCAGCCGCGGUAAUACGGAGGGUGCGAGCGUUAAUCGGAAUUACUGGGCGUAAAGCGCGCGUAGGUGGCUUGAUAAGCCGGUUGUGAAAGCCCCGGGCUCAACCUGGGAACGGCAUCCGGAACUGUCAAGCUAGAGUGCAGGAGAGGAAGGUAGAAUUCCCGGUGUAGCGGUGAAAUGCGUAGAGAUCGGGAGGAAUACCAGUGGCGAAGGCGGCCUUCUGGACUGACACUGACACUGAGGAGCGAAAGCGUGGGUAGCAAACAGGAUUAGAUACCCUGGUAGUC